CAUAGUAUGAAAGAAAUUUUAGAAGCUCAUAAAGGACCACUUACUGGUGAAGGUCACAAGGGUCUAU
RNAcentral lists this transfer RNA (67 nucleotides) under Prymnesium parvum. Lineage: Eukaryota; Haptophyta; Prymnesiales; Prymnesiaceae. The record is from RNAcentral.